RNAcentral lists this long non-coding RNA (323 nucleotides) under Mytilus galloprovincialis (Mediterranean mussel). The record is from RNAcentral. Lineage: Eukaryota; Metazoa; Mollusca; Bivalvia; Mytilida; Mytilidae.
CUUGCUUUGUCUCUUUUUGAUUAUAUAUGAUCUCAUUUUUUUCUUCUUUCUAUUUUUACAUUUUACAAAUUGUAUGUCUUUUUUCUCUAUUUCAUGUUAUUGGCACAGUAAUGUAUAAUAUAUUAUGCAGCAUUGUUGGUGUAUUCUGGUUACAAUUUGAAUUCUUCUCAGACAUGGCAGGUGAGAUCAGACAUCUCAAAGAUAUUUUCACAUUCACACACUUUAAGUACACAGCUGUAUGGGUUUUUUCUUGGUUUUCUUUUAUGCAUUUAACAAAAUACAUAUUUUUGUUUUUUAAAAUAGAAAUAUCAUUUGAAAAUGAG